GGGCCCGCACAAGCGGUGGAGCAUGUGGUUUAAUUCGAUGAUACGCGAGGAACCUUACCAGGGCUUAAAUGUAGUCUGACAGGGGUGGAAACACCCCCUCCUUCGGGCAGAUUACAAGGUGCUGCAUGGUUGUCGUCAGCUCGUGCCGUGAGGUGUCAGGUUAAGUCCUAUAACGAGCGCAACCCCUGCCGUUAGUUGCCAGCAUGUAAUGAUGGGAACUCUAACGGGACUGCCGGUGCAAACCGCGAGGAAGGUGGGGAUGACGUCAAAUCAUCACGGCCCUUACGUCCUGGCUACACACGUGCUAGCAAUGCUACGGACAAACGGGCUGCAAAGUUCAGCGAGGACAAGCA
Molecule: ribosomal RNA, 353 nt
Filed under: uncultured bacterium
Lineage: Bacteria
Description: bacterial SSU rRNA
Rfam family: Bacterial small subunit ribosomal RNA
Source: RNAcentral